CGUGGUAUUACAUAUACAUAUAUACAGAUAUAUACAUAUAUAUGAAAUAUAUAUAUAGUAAAAGAACCAGAGAGCGUCGAUUCACCGAGUACACGCGCCCAUUUGGACAGGGCCGCUGCCAAAGCACCACGGGCCCCGAUCACCAUCAGUCCCUUUUGUCGUCAGUCCCCUCUAUGGAGCAUCUCCUGAUGAUGCUGAUACUGGUGCUGGAUCUUUGGCUCUUCCACCUGUCCAAGAGUAUAACUAAGAAGCCCUCCUCUAGGCAUCGCCACCACCAUCGCCACCACCAAUACCAUCACCAUCACUCGGACUCGUAUCGCUUUCUUUACCCCCACCUGCUGGCAAUACCAAUGCCGAUGCUGAUGCUGGUCCUCAUACCUGCACAGUCUGGAGCAUCAGAAUCUCCAGUCCAUUCACCAGCUCGAAAUCUUCAUUCCCGGCUCUGCUCUGUUCUUCCCAAUGACAAUCUCCGGCACCCUGAUGAUGACCGUAGUAAUUGAUAUUGACAUUAGCAGCGUCAGGUGAUGGAUUGAGUUGAGCAAUUAUUUGCUAUUGGCUUGCUGGUAAUUACCGCACUGCGUAAAGCACACAUGAUGUAUAAUGUAUAUGUGUACGGAGAUAAUGUAAAUGAAUAAUAAACAUAAUAGAUGGUGAAUGAUGAUGAGAGCGUGAGAGGGAGUGAUGUAGUGUAUGUGUAUAUAUUGAAGAAUGUUGGAUGCUGGAUGAUGGCUUAGUUUCUUGGCCGACCGGUCUUCCUGCCGCGCCAUGCUGUCUGCCCGAUAUGAUUCCCGCAUACUUCCCACUUAGCAAUUGGAUAUUUUACGCCAUUUCCGCUUGACGACUCAAUCGUACUUCUCGCGAUAUUUCGUGGAAAUGCCCACGCGUUUCCUUCUUCACAAUAUUAUGCGAAUGCGGAUAAUAAAUGACCUGCAAAAUAUACAUGUAUGUUAUUAUUAUUAGUGGUAUAGUUGUUUUAAUUUAUUAAAGAGCAAGAAGAGAAGCGAUGAUAAAUAAUAGAGUGAGAAAUCAGAUACAUGUGAUAUGUAGACACGACGAUUAUUAUCAUAUGAAGAAUAAUUUGUCUUGAUGUGUUGAACACACACUUCAGCAAUUCACCAUGGGCUUUAAUCUAUUCAUCUGGUUCUGGUAUUUGGAUCUUCUGGUAAUGGUGAAUUUUUUUUUUUGGGAAGAAGUAAAAAAAAUAAUAAAUCAACAUCAUCAUUAUCGUGAUGAUGAUCAUGACGACCGUGUAUCCGAGGGAAUGUCAUGUCCUCGCGGGAUAGAAUAAGACUUUAAGCAAAAGUAGAAUUGGCCAGAGGUAACCGGCAUCAAGAGGUACGAAGGACCGAUACGAGUAGAGGAAGAAACACGACGGGAGUGGCGGUGAGAAAGAACCAAAGGUAUAAGAGAAGAUAUCGUGCCGGUUAGUGCCCCGCCCCGGCUUCAGGGUCGUCUUAAUUACCGGGUGGUCCAGUUCGGAACCCCAUAAAUAUUUCGUUGCGGCGGCACUCUUUCCGACGAGACCCCAGGACUCCUGGGAGAGCUUAUAGACUUUAUUCUCGAGACCAAGUAGGACUAAUGUGACCGACAGAGAGAGAAAGUUUAUUCUUUAAAAGAGAGUAUAUAAAAUGAGAGAGUAAAUAUAAAGAUGUACAGUAAACUCCAUAACUCCAUGGUCGUGUAGGCUUUUUCACAGACUCUCGUAUAUAAUUCCAUCAGAUUGGGCUCUCUUUGUAUUUAUACUUCCACCGCCUGGCUAACUGCUCAAGAAUAACCGGAUGAGAUCCAACUCUUUUAGCGUUUCAUUCCAUUCCAUUCCAUUCCACUCCACUCAGUUAUCUUAGGGAGCCAGCAAGUCUACCGAAGGUAGUCAUUUAGAUGAAUCGUCGGUUUGCUGGAUGUGGGAAAGAGACAUCCAGCUCGGGACGAGAUUACUCUCAGACGCAGCUCCGGCGAAGAACGAGGGGUCCAUCUCCACCAGACAAAGACGGCGGCAAAAAAAAUACGUUAAGUAAAAUAAAUUAUUGAUUUUUAUCUAAUUUUCGGCGUUACCCAAAGAGAAUAUGUGCCCUGUACGGUACCAAGAGGAUUAGUCAUUUUUUCUAGUCACCUCCUCAGGUAUACGAGAUAACAAGGACUCAUCCUGUAACUCAGGGUCCUAUCUGCACCACGUCACCCAGCUCUGCAGAUUGAGCAGUCUGAGGCCUCCUACGCCGCGAGCUUCCAUACUCGACAGAAUGUCUUCGGCAUGAGUCAUCUGCCGGGACAUCUCUAUCACACACCGGGAUGAUGCUCCAUGUGUAUGAGGAAUCCAUUAGCGGAGUGAUGGACGUGACGUUAAUCAGCUAGUGCAGUAUUAAGUAUUCUCCCUUCACUUGGUACGCGCGUAUUGUAUCCGCUGGCUUACAAGUCUCUGGGUUUUACGACCCGCCCACAUACGAAGCCUAAAACAAUGCCCAUUACUACCAAUUUUCGAUGAGCUGUCAUCAACCACCCACGGGCAUACGACGAGGGAGCUAGGGCACUAUCAUUUGUGUGGUCUGCCGGGCGGAUUCGUCUUGAGUUGGUAUUGUAGAGUUGGCUAAAGUCUAAGAAAAAGACUGAGAGCGAGAGAGCUCAAGAGUUUUUUAAAAUAUAUAUGUAUAUAUAAUACUAAGUGAGUGAGAUUGACGACUAAAAGAAGAAAGAGACCACCUUCGUGGAAGCCACUUUACUCUCGCGAGAACAGAGAGAACAUUCCUUGUUCUAUCUCACUUGGUUUUAUAUUUCGAAAUUCUCUCUACUCCUCGACUUAAACUCAACUCUAUACAACACUCCGCGGAUCUUGUGUAUACAUACAUAUAUAUUUAUAUAUUAUUAUGUCCGUUGUCUGUAUUAUAGUAUACGAGAUACCAGGAGAGAGUGGAUCCAUGAGAGAACGAGAGAUGUAGAUUCCCACCGAGUCUGGCUCAAUGAUCAGAGUACACAUCUUGGAAUUAAAAAAAACCAUUAAAUAAAUAAAUAACUGAGUGCAUCUCUCAUAUGUACUCCCGCGUUAUAUCGGUACUUCAUGGAAGCUCAUUGUGCAAGGUAUAAUUAUGCAAUCAGCUCUUUAUCAUACGUAAAUAUACACGCGGUAAAUUUCCAGUACUUGAUAGUCCGCCUGCGAUUGACUGAUGCACUGAAAUUAAAUUAAAGCUUCUAAUUAAUUUCUCACGGCUAAAAAUUCAAAGAAGAAUUUUAGUUUUUAAAAAAAAAUUAAUGCUAACACAUGAAAAAAAAUUUUUCUGGGCUCAAUAAAAUUUUCCUGGGGCGAGUAAAAAUUUUCUUGAGUAAAGAAAUCUUUUUUUCUGUAUAAUAAUAAUAAAACGUAUAAAAAACCAGUACUUUAGUAAGCAUGCAUUAAUUAUACUACUGGUCUUGGUGGAAUGUGCAGGCUCAUCUCAUCAUUGAUUAAAACUCCUUAUUAUAAAUAAGGAGGUUUUAUAUGUUUAUUUAUAAUAAAACCAGAUGGUAUUGUAUAUAUUUAAUAUACUGGAUCGGUCAUCAGAUGCGAGUGCUGGUAUAAUAAAUAAACUGAUGCAUCCAACCAGUACGGGCACCCUCACCUGUUCUCCUCUCAUCUGCACAUACGCAUCAGCCAGAUGCACUUGAUGACAGAUAUCGCGGCUUGUCCCUCAUCUCCCGGAAACUCGUUUCUUCUCAAUCCAAUGACGGCAAUAUUUUGAUCCUCGUAAUUUAUCGGAAUUUAUAACGACCAAGAGUUUCAAUUUGCUGGAGUUUUAAAUUGCACGGAUUUUAAUUAUCAACGUGGAGAUUAGAUGAGAGGAAUAAAAUCCUGAAGUCUGGAAGGUUCGUUAGUUGGAUUAACGUUUAAGUGAAUGAGGCCUGAGAUGAUGUGAUAUGAGGAAUGAUGAUCCUGACAUUAGAUAGAACCUGAUACGAUACGAGUAGAGGUAAACAAGUAUUCUCUAUAUACACAGUCCAGAGAGUACUUUCGGUACGCGGCAGACAGCGCGUCGCCCAAUCUCUGACUUGUUCAUAUUCUCACUACUUCUUGUGUGUUAGACUUAAUACCAGCGGUAACUGCCGUAGAUUCAAUUGUACAAAUGUAUCAUUAUGUUAAUGUGUUACGUGAUGAUGAUGAUGAUGAUGAUGAUGAUGAAAUAUUGGAUUCUGUGAUGAGAUAGUUGAGGGUUAAGAUGAUUUAUCAUUUAUUAUUGAAAAUAGUCUGGUUGUAACCAUCUUGGAGAUUAAUUUUUUUUCUUCUUCUUCUUAGUCAUCUUUAUCUUCUUUCUGGAAGUCGCUUGUAUAUAUUAUAUAAUAUAUAGAAUAGUAAAAAUUACAUACUAGGUCUGCACUUUUUUUAUUAACACUGGAGUUAGCCGACGUCUAAUAAUUUUUAGAUUUUUUUCAAAAAAAAUUGCAGCGUUUGGUUCACCAGAGCACGUGUGCGUCAGAUGUCUGAUAAUGAUCUACAUUUGGGUAAUUUUUUUUAACAGAGUACAUGUGUGUACUCCUACAGAAAAUCAGGACUUGUCACCAUCUAAGAAAAUCCAUAGAAAAUCGAAAUUCUGCCAGAAGAUCUAUAGAAAAUCAGGAAUUGUUAGAUUUGUCUAAUUUUUAUCAGCAGAGCACGUGUGCGUCGAAUGUCAAAUAAUGGUCUAGAUUUUUUCAAAUUUUCAGUCCCGCUAUGAAAAUUAAAAAUUUUCAAAAAAAGAAAAGUUAUUGGUUUCAGUCCGAUAAUUAACUGGAAAAAAAAUAAUAAAAUUUAACUGGAAAUUUGGCGCAUAAAUAAUUUUCUACGCUGUAAACAAUUGUUGAAGGCCUCUCAUAUCACGUGUAUAUUUUAUUACAGUACUUUGACUGUUGUGAAAAUUUUCUAUUUAUAGAUAAUGAACGUUGUGCUGGUUUAAAUUAUAAUUUUAUUACUAUUGAAUAUUGAAUAUAUUUUAAUUUUUUCUUGGAAUAUUAAUUUGUUUAUCCGUUCGGGGAAAUUAUUUAACUCGGAUAUUUUUAAACAUAAGACUUUGCUUUUUCCUUAUUUGUAUUUUGUCCUCGGGGUUUUCUUUGUAAUUUAUGUUUAUGUUCGUCCACGUGUUGUAGAGUAAACCUUUUAUCCUUUUAGCUUUUUAUUUAUUUAAUAUUUUUUAAGUGAAAUGUGAAACUCGGGUGUCACUUUACAUAACGUUAUAACUAUUAGAAAGUCUGAUAUAUAUUUAAAUAUCGAUUCAUAAAAAUAUCCUAGUACGUAUAUAUUCAUAUAUAUAUAUUUAUAGUAGUAAU
Molecule: long non-coding RNA, 5265 nt
Organism: Microplitis mediator
Lineage: Eukaryota; Metazoa; Arthropoda; Insecta; Hymenoptera; Braconidae
Exons: 4
Source: RefSeq, a predicted model, not a curated record